RNAcentral lists this transfer RNA (78 nucleotides) under Catenibacterium mitsuokai. Its description in RNAcentral is "tRNA-Ser(tga)". Lineage: Bacteria; Bacillati; Bacillota; Erysipelotrichia; Erysipelotrichales; Coprobacillaceae. RNAcentral also lists the same sequence under 1 other name. The record is from RNAcentral.
UAUUGUUUAGAGAAAUUAGAUAGACUUGAAAUUUAUUUAAACUAUAAAAGGCUAGGGGUGCAAAACUCCUAUCAUUGC